This 356-nucleotide transfer-messenger RNA is filed under the name Candidatus Latescibacterota bacterium. It matches the Rfam family "transfer-messenger RNA". From Rfam's summary of the family: Bacterial tmRNA, also known as 10Sa RNA or SsrA, is named for its dual tRNA and mRNA-like properties. Lineage: Bacteria; Pseudomonadati; Candidatus Latescibacterota. RNAcentral also lists the same sequence under 1 other name. The record is from RNAcentral.
GGGGGCGAACUUUGGAAUCGACAGGUGAACAUCAGAAACAAUGAUUGCUAUGCCGAAGGCUGCAUCGUUAAAGCGCAAAAACCAUAAGUGCAAACACGAAAGAAACUGUUGAGGCUACAUGCCUUGGCACACGCGCGGUUCGCCCUACGUUCCGUUUCGUGUCGAUUAAGGGAGCUUCCCGCAGCUUUGUAACGGGUUCGGAGUCGCUUUGCAGAUCGGCUACAAGAAAAACCACUGCAGCGUUGGCCUAACACGUAGAUAGGCACGGCUGUCAGUAGCCCAAACUGACUAUGCAUAGUAGACGUCGUCGUGGAACAGUCGCUUGGACGCGGGUUCGAAUCCCGCCGCCUCCAUUG